RNAcentral lists this ribosomal RNA (591 nucleotides) under Alternaria infectoria. Its description in RNAcentral is "eukaryotic LSU rRNA". The stretch from base 219 to 372 matches the Rfam family "5.8S ribosomal RNA". The record is from RNAcentral. Lineage: Eukaryota; Fungi; Ascomycota; Dothideomycetes; Pleosporales; Pleosporaceae.
GGUGAACCUGCGGAGGGAUCAUUACACAAUAACAAGGCGGGCUGGACACCCCCCGCUGGGCACUGCUUCACGGCGUGCGCGGCGGGGCCGGCCCUGCUGAAUUAUUCACCCGUGUCUUUUGCGUACUUCUUGUUUCCUGGGUGGGCUCGCCCGCCCUCAGGACCAACCACAAACCUUUUGCAAUAGCAAUCAGCGUCAGUAACAACGUAAUUAAUUACAACUUUCAACAACGGAUCUCUUGGUUCUGGCAUCGAUGAAGAACGCAGCGAAAUGCGAUACGUAGUGUGAAUUGCAGAAUUCAGUGAAUCAUCGAAUCUUUGAACGCACAUUGCGCCCUUUGGUAUUCCAAAGGGCAUGCCUGUUCGAGCGUCAUUUGUACCCUCAAGCUUUGCUUGGUGUUGGGCGUCUUUUGUCUCCAGCUUCGCUGGAGACUCGCCUUAAAGUCAUUGGCAGCCGGCCUACUGGUUUCGGAGCGCAGCACAAGUCGCACUCUCUAUCAGCAAAGGUCUAGCAUCCAUUAAGCCUUUUUUUCAACUUUUGACCUCGGAUCAGGUAGGGAUACCCGCUGAACUUAAGCAUAUCAAUAAGCGG